This 254-nucleotide ribosomal RNA is filed under the name uncultured bacterium. Its description in RNAcentral is "partial 16S ribosomal RNA". It matches the Rfam family "Bacterial small subunit ribosomal RNA", at positions 524 to 777 of the family's 1533-position model. The record is from RNAcentral.
UACGUAGGGUGCGAGCGUUGCCCGGAUUUAUUGGGCGUAAAGGGCGCGUAGGCGGCCACGCACGUCCGUUGUGAAAUCGCCCGGCUCAACUGGGCGGGGUCAGCGGAUACGGUGUGGCUCGAGCAAGCUAAGGGGCAAUGGAAUUCCCGGUGUAGUGGUGGAAUGCGUAGAUAUCGGGAGGAACACCAGUGGCGAAGGCGGCAUCCUGGACCGGCAUUGACGCUGAGGAGCGAAAGCCAGGGGAGCAAAGCGGG